AUACUACUUAAAAAUAUAUUAAUCGCUUUAGGUACUAAUAAUAGGGACUUACAAAAUUAACAUGGAUUAGUGCGUACUUGCUUAUUAGGUAGCUAGUACUGUUAAUUUACUUUUGAAAAACAGUGUGUACAAUAAUACUACAUGUUGCAAACUUGCAAUCUUGGUUGGAUUUUAAUUUUGGGUGCCACUUCUAGGCUCAAUCCCAAAAUAAUGAUUUGGCAAGCUUAGAAACAAUACUCCUGCGUGUUAAAUGAGCUAUUGAUGAACGAAGUCAACUCUGUUUCUUUGGAUUACCUAUUAUUGAAUCAAUAGUCUUUUUUUCUCUUAGGAUUAUUAUUUAUUAUAUAUUUAUUGUUACAGC
RNAcentral lists this long non-coding RNA (361 nucleotides) under Nicotiana benthamiana. Its description in RNAcentral is "long non-coding RNA (NBEN_LNC012572)". The record is from RNAcentral. Lineage: Eukaryota; Viridiplantae; Streptophyta; Magnoliopsida; Solanales; Solanaceae.